Xiphias gladius (swordfish) is the source of this 534-nucleotide long non-coding RNA. RefSeq lists it as uncharacterized. The record is from RefSeq and is a predicted model, not a curated record. NCBI's taxonomy places the organism in Eukaryota, Metazoa, Chordata, Actinopteri, Istiophoriformes, Xiphiidae. The transcript has 3 exons.
UUUUUUUAAAUGUAUAAACUCUACUGCUGUUCUUUGAAGUUAAAUAAAAUUAAAUAAAAUUAAAUUGAAAAAAAUUCGUCGCAGAACUACAUGUCCCACGAUGCCUCGCUUUCAAGCUGACCAAAUGGAAUACAGACCAGACCAGCCGUUGUGACAGCUGAGCUUCAAGUUUGCUGAGGGAGACUUGAGCGCCCACUACGACAUUAAACAAACACGAGUGAAAUAAACAUGACAUGCUCAGGACAGGAUAGAAGCCGGCCGGUAAAGCAGCACUAGCAGCAGAGAUUGUUUAAUGGGGAUACGUUAAAAGAGACAGUACCCGUUCUACACAGAUCAUCACAUGCUAAGAUAACAACUGCAGCAGCACGUCACAUCCCUCUCAGGCAGUCAGAGCCUCAUGCCCUGGAAGCCUGCGCUUUCUCCCUGAGCCACCAGGGGGCCUCAGUCCCACGGUGGGACAACCAGCUCUGAGUUUGCCUUCACCCUGAACCCUCCAGCCCCAGUCAAGCUGUCCCACUCUGCCUCCCCUCCAUC